GAGAAAGUAUGCAAGAACUGCUAACUCCUGCCUCCAGGCUUAAUAUCCUGGCCUUCUCA
RNAcentral lists this transfer RNA (59 nucleotides) under Cebus albifrons (white-fronted capuchin). RNAcentral describes it as "tRNA-Ser". The record is from RNAcentral. Lineage: Eukaryota; Metazoa; Chordata; Mammalia; Primates; Cebidae. RNAcentral also lists the same sequence under 2 other names.